GCAGAUUGUGUGUAUACUAAAGAGGUCAAGAGAUAAUCAUCUCAUCUCCUCAACUCCCCCCGAUGCCUGGUGUGCUCUCAACAGUUUUCGAUGAAAUAGAACACCCUAAAUCCAUGGGCGGUGUUCCCACCUAGGGUUGUGGGUCACCAUUUCUUCCCUAGACUCCACACCGUUGCCCCUUGUCAAGAUUGCACCUCAAGGUUUUGGUUCCUACUAGCUUCGAUCCCGAAGCUAUUGUUAUUUAUUUUCACUUUAAGACCAUUCAAAAUAUUCAAAACGGAUUACUUGGAUUAAAGGUUGCUUAAAGCCUGGUAAAGGUUCGGUUCUAGUUAAUGGGUCGCACACGGUGUAAUUUAAGUUCAAGAGAGGUCUUAGACAGACAGGGAGACCCCCUUUCUUUUGGGUUGAUCUACACCCAUCUUCUUACUAUUUUUACCCCUUGUGAGUAAAACUGCGGGUCUUAUCCGUAAAUUUGUGUGAGGAGGGGUACAUUUAGUAACACACUUACCACCAAGGGCGGACCCAAGCCCAACCCAAGGUGGGCGGGCGCACCCCCGGGGAAAAAAAUUUAGUGCUAAGUUCCGUUGAAAAUCCCGUCCGCACCCCUUGGAAAUUUUCGUCCGCACCCUUUGGAAUUUUUCGACCGCACCCUUUAAAAUUUUCGUCCGCACCCCUUAGGUAAAAAGUGUUAUCAAUUUAUAUUUUAAAUUUUUUAGUAAACUCUUAUUUGAAAAAAUACUACCUAAAUUAUAAAACUUUUAAUACCUAACUAACAAAACCCAUCCCUUUACCCACUUAUAAUUCCUAACUAGCUAGCCCACUAAGUCUUAGCCCAUUAACCAAACCCAACAAUAUUUCAAACUAUAACAAAAUAAUUAAAGCCCAAAACCUUUAGAAAUUCUCUCCCGCUCUCUCUCUCUUGCGUCCCUGCACUGCCAACGAACAACAUCACCCACCGACAACAGUCCAGCAGUUGGCGACCACCGUAAUCAGCCACCAUACCACCGUCGUUUGACACCAAAUCUAACCGGAAUCCGAACACGGGUUAAACCAGACAAUUAAUUCAAUCAUCUGAGGGCAAAUUCGUCUCUUCAUUCAAUCAGCGAGAAGUUCAUUACACUAAUAUCCCGAGCAGCACUGGACGAACAUAUGUUGAUUUUGAAGAAACUCAACCGAUCGGUGAUCAUGCUCAAUUAUCUGCAUAUCAGAGAGUUUUGAUUGAGGAUGUUUUAAAUCCGCAACCUGCAAAUCCAAAUCCAAAUCCAAAUGCAAGUACAAGUGCUGUAAACGAAGAGACGAAUGGUAAUUAUGUUAAUGCUGAUCUUUAAAUUAUUCGUAGACUUGUUUUGUUUAAUCUUAGCAAUGUUUUUGCAUUGUUGUAGCUGUUUUUGAAGUUUGAAUAUUGAGUAUAUUUUGAUUUGAAAGCAACAUGUAUAAGUUCUCAUGUUAUGAGUUUUUCAA
Long non-coding RNA from Helianthus annuus (common sunflower), 1461 nucleotides. RefSeq lists it as uncharacterized. The record is from RefSeq and is a predicted model, not a curated record. NCBI's taxonomy places the organism in Eukaryota, Viridiplantae, Streptophyta, Magnoliopsida, Asterales, Asteraceae. The transcript is spliced from 3 exons.